RNAcentral lists this ribosomal RNA (258 nucleotides) under uncultured bacterium. RNAcentral describes it as "partial 16S ribosomal RNA". It matches the Rfam family "Bacterial small subunit ribosomal RNA", at positions 15 to 272 of the family's 1533-position model. The record is from RNAcentral.
GAUCAUGGCUCAGGAUGAACGCUGGCGGCGUGCUUAAUACAUGCAAGUCGAGCGAAGGACGCAAGUCCUUAGCGGCGAACGGGUGAGUAACACGUAGGUAAUCUGCCCUAAGGGACCCCGGAUACCUUGAGGAAACUUAAGCUAAUAGGGGAUAGGAAAGGGACAGGCAUCUGUCGAUUUUGAAAAGUUCCUGAAAGGGAACGCCAAAGGAUGAACCUGCGGCGCAUUAGUUAGUUGGUGAGAUAACAGCCCACCAAG